GUGGAUUAGAUACCCUGGUAGUCCACGCUGUAAACGAUGAUCACUCGCUGUUUGCGAUAUACAGUAAGCGGCUGAGCGAAAGCAAUAAGUGAUCCACCUGGGGAGUACGAUCGCAAGGUUGAAACUCAAAGGAAUUGACGGGGGCCCGCACAAGCGGAGGAACAUGUGGUUUAAUUCGAUGAUACGCGAGGAACCUUACCUGGGCUUAAAUGGGGAACGACAGCUGCUGAAAGGUGGCCUUCUUCGGACGUUCUUCAAGGUGCUGCAUGGUCGUCGUCAGCU
This 282-nucleotide ribosomal RNA is filed under the name uncultured bacterium. Its description in RNAcentral is "partial 16S ribosomal RNA". It matches the Rfam family "Bacterial small subunit ribosomal RNA", at positions 773 to 1060 of the family's 1533-position model. The record is from RNAcentral.